This 278-nucleotide long non-coding RNA is filed under the name Homo sapiens (human). RNAcentral describes it as "non-protein coding lnc-RHNO1-1:1". Lineage: Eukaryota; Metazoa; Chordata; Mammalia; Primates; Hominidae. The record is from RNAcentral.
ACAGGAGCUGCUGCCGGGCAGAAGAAAAGCAGGGCAGGCUGGCUCCCAGGCCUCAGGGUGGGGAUGGCAGUGGGAAUGAAGCACCUGUAACUGGGCCCUUCCUGCCCUAAUGUUCAGGGGGCCCUACCCCUCGUGAGCUUGUCUUAUUAAGAACCCUCAAAAGGCCUAAGUUAACCAGCAGGUCCAAAGGUCCCAAGGAACAAGGUCAGAGACGCCAGGGAAAAGAGCCUCUCCUGGUGCCUUAGGAAUCAGACGCCAAUAAACCACAGAGCCCAGCA